GAAGAGCUUCUUGGAGAGAGGAGACUGGAAGAAGCCUUGAACCUUCUUCGGCUUAUGAUGAAACAGGAUUAUCGACCAUAUCGAGAGCCUUUUGUCCAGUAUAUCUCAAAAUUUGGUUCCGUGGAGGAUGCUUGGGAAUUUUUGAUGGCACUCAGUAAAAAAACGUAUCCAUCUCUUUUGGCUUGCCAACGUGUUUUCAAGUCCUUCUUUAAUGAGGGUAGACAUUGUGAGGCCAAGGAGCUUCUUUUAAAGUGCCCUGAUCAUAUUAGCAGACGUCCCGCAAUUUGCACCCUUUUUGGUUCUUCAUAGAGCAGCAACCCAGAAGCAACUUCAGCUUGAGAUCAUCACUUAGAAGUACGUGUUUAGUUGAUACCUAAAUGUUCAUAAGGUUGUAAUUACAAAGGUACCAUGUGCACUGCUGGCCUUUCUUUUGCUGAACUUUGCAGAGUGUAGAUUAGUAUUGAAAGUUUUCUCUUGCAAUGAGUAGAGGAAUAGUAAUGACUAGGAGCUUGUCUUGGCCAAAACUCCUGAGUCAUGGCUAAGGCCUUUAUUUCUUUUGGCCUUGAAAGACCCUCAGAUAUAUAAUCUAACAUCUAAGUCUUGGGAGGGAUACGAUUGUAUAUGAUGCAUCUUUCAAGAAAUGUAUGUACUUGCUCUAUCUGCAAAACAUUUUCUUUUCAUGAUAUGAUUUGGCAAUGUGCAGAGUCUUCAUGAUGAACAUUUCACAGCAUUAUCUACUAUCAAACUCUUUAUCUCAGUAUUCGCAUGUUUAGAAGGUUCUUCUCCAUGGUUAUACAUCUUCAUUUGUUGUAUCAUGUUCUCCUACUUUUCUUUUACAGUGCUCAUUUGCAUUGCUCGUCCUCUUAUGGUCACACAGUAGUCCUGCUGUAUGCGCUAAUCUGGCCUCAAAUUUCUUUCACACUCUGUCCAACAAGUAUGAGUACAAUACUUUGAAAUUGUUCGCCUUUUUGUUUAUCAUGGCUGGCACAAAGAAUCUUUACCCGGAUGGCCAAAUGGAGUUUUCCAAUUAUCUUCUUUGAGAUUAGACACUUAGAAUUUUGGAUAGUUACAAAUGAUUCAAUAUCUGUAUCAUAUGAAUUUUGGGGUCUACUAAUGCAUUUUUUUUUAUCUCACCAGUUAGAAGUUGGUUGAAACAAAUUAUUUUCUUGUCAUUCCUCAAAAACUGAAGAAUGUGAAUGUUCCUCAAAAUACUAUUCAUGGAAUAGUGAAUUGGAAUGUGGGAAGCUCUUAUAUAAUGAAAGAUAGUGGAACUGGCUCUCAAAAUCAAAGGCAAUUAUCUUUGACCAUGUGGAUAACAUUUGAACAAGUAAAGAAUUCGCAAUUGUGAGUGUAAUGACUUGUUCUUAUGAAAAUGAUGAUAAAUCUGGGAAUAAUAGUUACUAUCCAAAUAGUCGAUUUCAGUAAAGAAUUUUCUUUUUCUAGAGGGCUUCAUAACAAAUCACUUGUAUAAAAGUUUGCCUCAGGCAUUAUUUAUGUCAGAGAAGUAUCCAUUUCAAGAAGUGUUUUAUGCUCUGAAUACUCUUCAAAUAUUGUAACUAUUAGAUAUAUAUAUAUAUAUAAUGAAAUAAAUAAAACUAAUCAACAUAUAUAUAUAUAUAUAAGAUUGCAAACUUGUACCAAUUUCUCUUUCAUAAUUCUUCAAGAUAUUUCAUUAAGAAAGUCAUUACCUAUUCCCAAAGCUGCCUUUUUUUUUUUUUUUCAAGAACACAUGCAUCAUGAUGAAGUAACUUUAAAUUUGAGACUAUUGGAUUAUAUGGAUCACAUAGGAAAAGAUUGGCAAGGGGUGGCGGGUGCAAAUCAAGAAAUAUAAGUUCAGAUGGGGACAAUACAAUACAUAAUUAGCACAAACUUCUCCUGCGUAAAGCCGUAGACCAGCAUGCUGUACCUAAUUUUCCAAAAAAGGCCAUCGGUUUACUUGAAUCCGGAUGCGGGUCUUCCCUACUUUCCAAAAAAGGCCAUCUAUAGUUCUGUACCAGGAACCCGCUUUCCAACUCCUAAAACCCGCAAAAAAAAAAAAAAAAUCCCAUUUCAAGAAAACGUCUGCAAAUGACGGCGGAAGCAGCAAUGAAGCAACAAGCCAGGAGACUCCUGAGUUGUCUCCGAUUCGCCAACUCGCUCCACUCAACUCACCUGCUGAGAAGUCGCUCGCUCCACACUCAGGUGACUCGGUUCCCUCACUGUUUAUCCCCUUUUCUUUUCACCCGAAGUUUCAAUUACAGUGUUUUUUCGGCUUUUAGAUCCCGGCUUAAAAAGAUUGUAGAAGACAUACAAUCAGAAAGAGCGCGAGGGACAAUUUCUUUGACCGAGUUACUGAGAGAAGAAGCAAAUUCUUCCUUUUCCCAGUCGGAAGCUGCUGGGAAAAGUUGGUUCAGGCCAUGUUCUUCACGAUAUAGAUUAAAGCUGCAAUCGUGUGCUAUACGUAAUGAUAUGAAGGGGUUUUGGGCUGUUUUUGAAAACGUUAGAAAAAAGGGAAAGUAUAUCGAUGAGGAGACGUUUUUAGUUGUAGAAUCGGAACUUAUUAAGUUGGAUAGGGUUGAUGAUGCUAAGGAGUUGAAGCUUUUUUAUCAAAAAUUGAUUCUUGAAAUUCCUAUCAAGAGAGCUGUGAAUUUGGUGGCUGAGAACUCGGAUUGGGGCGGUGAAUUGGAGAGAAAAUUGGGAGAGAAUAGCAUAUCAGUGCAGGAGAAUUUUGUUUUGGGGGUGUUGGAGGGGCUUGGGAAAAAAGGUUUGCCUUUGAAAGCUUUGAGUUUUUUCAAAUGGGUUCGGGAGAGUCUGGGGUUUGAGCAUGAUAAUUUUACUUAUAAUUGUAUUCUUAGGUUUCUUUGCAGGGAAGAGGCGAUUUCGGAGUUUUGGAGUAUGUUCAAGGAGAUGAAAGACGCUGGUUAUGUAAUUGAUACUGAUACUUAUGUUCAAGUAAUGAGGGAGUUUCGGAUGAGGAAGAUGGUGAAGGACGCUGUUGAGCUUUUUGAGCAUAGGAUGAAUAGUCCAUUUCAGUAUUUGUCCAACGAGUGUAGUUUGCUUUUGCAUGCCAUUGCAUCGGCUGUUGAUCCUGACUUGGAUCUGAUGUCUAGAGUUGUGAAGAAAUAUGAGGCAGCUGGGUAUUGUUUAUUGAAGAGUGACUAUGAGGGGAUCCACUGUUGUUUGUUGAGUGCUGGAAAGUUUGAUGAAGCAGAGCAGAUCAUACGGACCAUGAACAGAGCUGGUUAUGAACCAUCUAGUAUCAUCCACAAACAAUUGAUUUUUGGACUUUGUAAAGCAAGAAGGCUAGAAGAAGCCAUUGAAUUACUAGAUGAGAUGGAAGCUCAGGGAUGUAUUCCUGUUGUUGAGACUGCGAUGAUCGCAGUAAUGAGAUGUUGUUGUGAUAUCGAUGGAGUUGACAAGGCAUUCCUAUGGUUUGGAAAGAUGGUGAAAAAAGGCUUUGAUGCAGAUGCUGGUCUUCUGGAUGUUCUAGUCAAUGGAUUUCUGAAAGAGAAGAGGGUCAUUGAAGGAUACCAGUUUCUUGUGGAAAUGGUUGACAAGGCUCGUGUGGCACCACGGCAUGCUACACUUAAGAAUCUGAUUGAAGAGCUUCUUGGAGAGAGGAGACUGGAAGAAGCCUUGAACCUUCUUCGGCUAAUACAGAAACGGAAUUAUGAACCGGAUCCAGAGCCUUUCAUCCAGUAUAUCUCGAAGUUUGGUUCUGUGGAGGGUGCUUGGGUGUUUUUGAGGACACUAAGUAAGAAGCAGAGUAAAAAGCAUGUAUCUGUCUUGGGUUGCCAACUUGUUUUUCAGUCCUUCUUUAAUGAGGGUAGACGUUCUGAGGCUGAGGAGCUGUUCUGUAAGUGCCCUAGAUAUAUUCACAAAAAUC
Molecule: long non-coding RNA, 3865 nt
Filed under: Coffea arabica (coffee)
Lineage: Eukaryota; Viridiplantae; Streptophyta; Magnoliopsida; Gentianales; Rubiaceae
Description: long non-coding RNA (CARA_LNC003144)
Source: RNAcentral